Molecule: ribosomal RNA, 482 nt
Filed under: uncultured bacterium
Lineage: Bacteria
Description: bacterial SSU rRNA
Rfam family: Bacterial small subunit ribosomal RNA
Source: RNAcentral
UUUAAGCUUCCUACGGGAGGCUGCAGUGGGGAAUUUUGGACAAUGUGGUGCAAGCCUGAUCCAGCAAUGCCGCGUGCAGGAAGAAGGCCUUCGGGUUGUAAACUGCUUUUGUACGGAGCGAAAAGGCUCUCUCUAAUACAGGGGGCUCAUGACGGUACCGUAAGAAUAAGCACCGGCUAACUACGUGCCAGCAGCCGCGGUAAUACGUAGGGUGCAAGCGUUAAUCGGAAUUACUGGGCGUAAAGCGUGCGCAGGCGGUUUUGUAAGACAGGCGUGAAAUCCCCGGGCUCAACCUGGGAAUGGCGCUUGUGACUGCAAAGCUGGAGUGCGGCAGAGGGGGAUGGAAUUCCGCGUGUAGCAGUGAAAUGCGUAGAUAUGCGGAGGAACACCGAUGGCGAAGGCAAUCCCCUGGGCCUGUACUGACGCUCAUGCACGAAAGCGUGGGGAGCAAACAGGAUUAGAUACCUUGUAGUCGAAUUCUU